GGUUAGCUCGGUUGGUAGAGCGCUCCACUGGAAAUGGAGAGGUCCCGGGUUCGAUACCCGGGAUCU
This 66-nucleotide transfer RNA is filed under the name Ixodes scapularis (black-legged tick). Its description in RNAcentral is "tRNA-Ser". The stretch from base 4 to 61 matches the Rfam family "tRNA", at positions 8 to 63 of the family's 71-position model. From Rfam's summary of the family: Transfer RNA (tRNA) molecules are approximately 80 nucleotides in length. Lineage: Eukaryota; Metazoa; Arthropoda; Arachnida; Ixodida; Ixodidae. The record is from RNAcentral.